Molecule: long non-coding RNA, 6007 nt
Organism: Gorilla gorilla gorilla (western lowland gorilla)
Lineage: Eukaryota; Metazoa; Chordata; Mammalia; Primates; Hominidae
Exons: 5
Source: RefSeq, a predicted model, not a curated record
CAAACAUCUCCAGCUCAUCUUCUCAGGUAUCUAUGAAGAUUCCAUACAAACUCCUUUCAAAUUUUUCCCAGGAAUGCUGUCGGAACUGGACCUUGAUGAAGGAAAUACUUUCUGACUCAUUGGAAUUUGUUAUAGUCAAAAACCCUCAACCCUGCAUCCUACCAUCCUGGGCCUGCACUGCAAGUUACAUGAUCCCUGAGCUGACCACUUUGGCUUGAAUCCCUGGAAGGAGAAAGGAGAGAGAGCAACUAGUUCAGACACAAGCAUCUAGUUCAGCUUUGUUUGCCUGUGUGAUAACUUAGGUCUUCACCAUGCCCCAGAGUAAGACGACGCAUGAGGACCCUUCUUGUCAUUUAAUUAUUGCUUGACCAGAACUGUGCCUUGUAAGGUUAUUGCUCCCUUAAUGUGUCUCUCAGGGUCAGGCUGCAAAUUUUCCUCAAAGCAGCAUAAAAGAAGAAGGGACACUCACAAAUCACCUGACCAAUGCCUCUUUGUUUAGAAAUGCUUGCUGUUUGGAAACUUGUGAAGACCUGCAUCCCUUUGUAUCUCAAAUAAAGACAGAGGUGUUUCCAGACCUAAGAAUAACGGGAACAUGGAGGAGUGGCAUCUCCAGUGUAGCCACCCACCAAAGCCUCAUCCUGAACACUAUGGCCUAGUGGGUCACUUACAGGGAUGUAGCUGGCAUUGAUGUAGUCAGAGCAAGGAUCAUCAUCUACAUUGGAGAGCUUCACUCGCGUGGCAUCAUCUGGAAGGAGAGAUUUGCUGCUGAGUCUUGGAGUGACUUUUCUACAGUUUAUGUGAUGUGUGUGAUGUGCCUUAGCUCUGAUCCCCACAACAGCCACAGAUGGGAAGUGAUCUUAUCUCCAUUUUGCAGAUGAGGCUCAGGCAGGGUAACUAACUUGCCCCACGUUGCAUAGGUGGCCUAUAACCAGUCAGACACAGGAGACAACAUGAAGCCCCAUCUGUGCUUCCCUUUCUAACAUUACCACAUUUGCCUGAUGGAGUGGCCAGCUCCCUUUCACUGCUGGAAUGAAUACAAUCCAGAAAACCUACCUUCUAUUGCUUUACCUAAUGGGGUAAGGAAAUUUAAGUAGAAAUUGCUAACCGAAGACUUUGCUAAGCAAACCCAGGUCUGCUUGAUGUCAGAGCCCUUGCUGUUAACCCCAUUUACUGCUUAGCCUCCAAAGAGAAGCAAUAGUAUCACAUGGGGAAAUGUCAACAGCAUAAGAGGACUUUCAUAACCAGAAUUUAAACUGGCUAUUAUCUCUCUGGAGGGAAGUGCAGGAAUAUACAAGCCAUUUCUUAUUAAAGGCAUUCAGAGCUUGAGAUUGUCCAUAUCGAGCUAUAUUAUAUUUCUUUGGCCUCAUUUCAUUUUUGGAGAAAAAUGCAGAAAUGGCUAGAGGAAGACAGUAUUACAAAUUUUGACACAAAACUUACAGGGCAAUAUAUUGUUGUAUCGAUUUUUCCCUCUAUUCUCCGGCAAGAGUGCAAUGUCACAUGACUGGUUUCGGCCCACGUCUUUUAACUCCUGUUAGGUCAAAUAUGAGUUUGUAAGUGGAGAAUAUGAAAUAGAAUAAAGCAAAUCAUACAGUCCUGGAGAUACAUAAUAACAUGAAAAUAUAUACACUAGCUAUUGUUUAUGAAUGCCUAGUACUCAACAUGCAUUAGCCCUGAUCCCCACAACAGCCCCACAAGGGAGGUGGUGGUCUCACUAUUUUACAGGUGAGGCUCAGACAGGAUAACUGAUGUGCCCCGGGUCACCCAAGUGGCAAACCUGAGAAUCAAUUCCAAAAGCUACGUGCUUUUUGCGAAACCACGGCAUCUUCCAGCCAAGCAAAUGGCCAGGCUGAAUAUCUGACAGCAUUAGGUCUGCAUUUGAGAUUUGUUAAUUCUUCCUUACUAUCUGAUCCAGGUAGCCCUUGGUUUGCUGUGUUAUUCUGGAGCUCAAGCUGGCCUCUAAGAUUAGAUGGUAUAUUCUAUUCAGGGCAUAGUUUAGGCAUAAAAGAGUGCUCAGCUGAGAUUCUAAGCAGCCUCCUAACUUCUGAGCUCAAUCAGCCUAUGAUGACACAGUAAACAUUAGGAAGGAAAUUCUGCUAAGAACUAGGGAUGCUGAAGCUUCAUUCUGCCUGAGUUGUACCUCGUAUUCCUUGGAUAGAAGGUAGUUGGAGUCAGCCUGUAGCUUCAUGAAAUGCCCUUCAAACUGAUUUAUUUUUAUUGGACUGUAAUUAAAAAUGAAACAAAAAGAAAAGAGAGUUACUGCAGAAAAGGGAAAGUGCCAUAACUAUUCUGACUCAUAUUUCAAAGGCAGAUAAUAUAGUAAUUAAUGUGUUCUCUCUCUUACCAAGAAGUUUUCCGGUUACUGUGAAGAGAAGCCAAAAGAGGAAGACUUUGUUAGCAAAUUUCACAUAAUACCAUCUUUCAACAAAUUAUACGAAGGCAAAUGUGGUGCUUACCCUUUCUGGCCCAGGUUUAAGUGGACAGAUAAUGGUCGAUCCCUACGAAUGCUCAGACGGGCAGAGGGUCUUUCUCGACCAUGGCUGAAACAUAAGGGAGAUAACUUUUAUUCUGAUUAUGAUACUUGGCUUGAACAAAUUUUUCCAUUUAUGGUAAGUAAGGCUGUGGAUGUUUGUGCAAAUAUGGGUUUUUCAGUAUUCAUAUAGAUUUGCACUCAGCCAACAUCUCUGAGGGAGGGAAAGGAAAGAGAAUAAAGUAGAUCAUUCCCACCCAGAAACGGAUCUCUGCAAAAACUGAAGAUUUGUCUCCUGGUUUUUGGCUACAGGUUAUAAUCACUUCCCACAUUCUCAAUAAAACUUUGCUUAAAAAAAAUCCAGUAAAUUUUAGAUGCCAGACACGACUUCAAUAAAGAAGAACAUGUGCCAAAUUAAGAAAAAAAUUCACUAAGAGAAGAAGGCACGACACUUGGGGCCACAUGCUAUUUGGUUCUUUUUGGUCCCUUCUUAAAUUAGGAUGGCAGAUAUGAACUACAAAAUGGUGAUGUCAACCACACUUUUCAGGAUAUUUCAGAAAAGCACUUGGGCAUGCAAUUUGCAAACAUCUCUGUCUUCAUGAGGAUAUGAACCACACACACACACAAAUAUUUUUUUUCCUGUGCAAAAGGAGUCACUUCAUCUUUAAAUAAAGCUAUAGAUGGCCCCUCAGUCCUUUGGUAAGGGCUGAAUUCAUCAAUGGGAUAUAAAAGAGCUGAGAAAAGUGACUCAUGGCUUUAGAGUUUGACUUGUUUUUAUUGAGAAAACAGUGACAAUUUAACCUGGAAAAAUUAAAUUACUUUCCCUUCUUAGUUUUCAGCCUAAAGGGAAUUUUCAGUUGCAUUUUUAAAGUUGUGGGUCCAAUCACCAAAAGGAUCUUUGUACUUACCUCACUUUCUGUCUGCAGAUCAAUAAGGCAACAACAGCCACUAGCAUGCCAAUUAAAAACAGACCAGCACUCACACCUUCAAUAGCUCCAAACAAGGGCUCUACAAUAAUCCAGAUAGAAACAACAAAUGCAGGUGGGAAAAUUAGUGCUAGGGAACCAGUAAGAAAGCUAUUGAAGCCAUAUCUCCCAAGUAAUGUUAUUACAAAUAGAAUUCAAGUGAUGCCCACGAUGAGGCAUUUACUUUCCAAAGGCUAUGAGUAUGCACCUAAGAAGAUGAAAGGCUGGCUCCCACCCUGUAGCAGUGAGGCCAGGUGUCACUGUAUACUUUUGAAGUUAAUGGUGCAUAGCUUAUAGAGGAAUUUUGGACUUUGCACUUGUAUAUAAAGCUUGGGGCACCUAAGAUAAAGGCCAUAAGUUUGCCACCAAGAUAAAAAUGUAAUUUCAUUUAUAUAAAACAUGUUACACAGCAUCUGGGGCUUUGGAAAAUCCAGUGGAUUGCUUGGAGCUAUUUUAAGAAGUCUUAUUUUUAUUAUCUGGUAUGGUAACGCUACUGGGAGUUUAUGAAGAGGUAAGAGUGGCCUCAUUUUUAAAAUAGCUUUAUUGAAAUAUCAUUCAUAUAGCAUGCAACUCACCCAUCUAUAAAUUGUACAAUUCAGUGGUCUUUAGUCAAAGUUUUGCAAAUGUCACCACAAUCAAUUUUAAAACAUUUUCAUCACCCUCAAAAGAAACCACAUACCUAUUAGCAGUCAGUCCCAUUCCUCCCUCCCCGCGAUCCCUGGCAACCACUAAUCUACUUUCUGUGUCUGUGGAUUUGCCUAUUCUGGAUGUUUCAUAGAAAUGAAAUCAUAAAUCUGUGAUCUUUUGUGACUGGCUCCUUUCAUUUAGCAUAACGUUUUCAAGGUUCAUCCAUGUUAUAGCAUAUACCAAGAUUUCAUUCCUUUUUAUGGUUGAAUAAUCGUCCGUUGUAUGGAUAUAUCACAUUUUGUUUAUCCAUUGAUGGACAUUUAAAUUGCUUCUACUUUUUGGCGAUUAUGAAUAAUGCUGCUAUGAACAUUCAUGUACAAGUUUCUAUGUGGACAUAUGUUUUCAUUUCUCCUGGGUAUAUACUGAUGAGUGAAAUUGCUGGGUCGUAUGGUAACUCUAGGUUUAAUAUUUCUAUAAACUUUUUCAAAGCAGUGUCACCAUUUUACAUUCUCAUAAGCAGUGUAUGGAAGGUUCUGAUUUCUUCAUAUCCUCACUAACUCUUGUUACUGCCUUUUUGAUUAUAGCCAUGCUACUGGGUGUGAAGUGGUAUCUUCUUGUCAUUUUGAUUUGCAUUUCCCUAAUGACUCAUGAUGUUGAGCAUCUUUUCAUGUGCUUUUUAGUCAACUGUAUAUCUUCUUUGGAGACAUGUCUAUUCAGAGCCUUUGCCCAUUUAAAUAUUGUGUAAUUUGGCUGGGCAUGGUGGCUCAUACCUGUAAUCCCAGCAUUUUUGGGGGCUGAGGCAGGCAGAUCACGAAGCCAGGAGUUUGAGACCAGCCUGGCCAACAUGGUGAAACCUUGUCUCUACUAAAAAUACAAAAAUUACUACAGGCGCAUGCCUGUAGUCCCAGCUACUGGGGAGGCUGAGGCAGGAAAAUUGCUUGAACCUGGGAGGUGGAGGUUGCAUUGAGCCAAGGUGGCAUCACCGCACUACAGCCUGGGUGACAGAGCAAGACUCCGUCUUGAAAAAAAAAAAAAUAUAUAUAUAUAUAUGGCCUGGCGUGGUGGCUCACGCCUGUAAUCCCAGCACUUUGGGAGGCCGAGACAGGUGGAUCACGAGGUCAGGAGAUCGAGAACAUCCUGGCCAACACGUGAAACCCUGUCUCUACUAAAAAUACAAAAAAUUAGCCGGGCGUGGUGGCGGGCGCCUGUAGUCCCCGCUACUUAGGAGGCUGAGGCAGGAGAAUGGCGUGAACCUGGGAGGCGGAGCUUGCAGCGGGCCGAGAUCGCACCACUGCACUCCAGCCUGGGCAACACAGCGAGACUGUCUCAAAAAAAAGAAAAAAAAAAAAGGAAAAAAAUAUAUAUAUUACACUAUAUAUAUAUAGUGUAAUUUGUGUUUUUAUUAUUAAAUUGUGAGGUAAGAGUUCUUUAUAUACUAUUCGGCCCUUAUCAGAUACGUGAUUUGGAAAAUAAAUAUUUUCUCCCUAUUCUGUAGGUUGUCUUUUUACUUUGCUGAUAGUGUCCUUUGAAGCACAAGUUUUUAACUUUGAUUAAAUCCAGAGUAUCCAUUUUUUCUUUUGUAGCUUAUGCUUUUGGUGUCAUAUCUAAAAAGCUAUUUUCUAAUCCAAGGUUACAAAGAUUUACACCUAUGUUUUCUUGUAAAAGUGUUACUGUGUUAUCCCUUAAAUUUACGUCUAUGAAGUGGCCCAUUUUUGAAGUUGCAUUUUAAGACCUUAGAUUUGUUUGUUCCAUGUUGCUUUUCAAGACUCAUCAAAUCAACACAAUCAUCUUUCCUUGAAUGUAGUUAAUAUCCUUUUUUGAAUAUACGUUUACUGUCUUCCUGUACUGGACUACAUGCAAUUUUUGUCAUGUAACAAUAUUUCAAAAAGGAAAGAAUUGUGUUUACAAAGUCCCUACAUUAUAAGUAAAGACAUCUAAAUCCUCUUAA